AAAACUGAAGAGCAAGUAAGCAUGCUCUGGGAUGACUGGGCUCAGGGGUGCUUCGGGCCUCCCCACAGUAGAUAAGCAUUCCUACCAGGGUUCCCUACCCCAUCUACCUUCUGUGUUCAGGAAAUAAAUUACUGAGCAGGAUAAUCCAAUGCCCUACCUUGGACCACAUGACUAUAUCUAUAAUCAGAGGGAAAAAGUCUGCUGAUUAAAACCUCACUGAAGCCACACAGACUAAGAAGGAUGGAUCUCCCUAAAGGAAAGAGGCACAAUUACUAGAACAAGAGAGGGGAUGCUUGGCAGAAAAAAACAGAUUCCAUGCCCAGUCCUGCAAGUUCUGCAAGUUGUCAUCAAUCCUUCUAGAGAGUCAUUUUUUAAAAGUUCUAGCCAAUGGCACUACCUCCUCACUCAUAUUCUUGCCCAGACCUUUCCUACCCACCCACCUGCCUGCCUGUUGGGCCUUUUGUGAUUCCAGCCCCGCUUCACCACUGGGAGCCCUGUCAAGCUUAAUUACCUUAGGGGCUGAGGCUCUUUAUGCAGGUGAACUGGGGCACAAAAUAUCAUCUAUUCAGUGGGUAAGCCUAGGUACCCCAAACACAAGGAUUUUAGCUUUUCUCACGUACAGAACCAUACAAUUUCUACACAACUGAUGAAUCAAUAAAUGCAAAAAGGGAGAUCUUCACCCAGAGACAACACAAAGAAACUCAGGAAGCAAAGCUGUAAGCCAGCCUCUCCCUCUGUGCACUCCCUGCCUUGGUGUGCUCACUCAUGCUAUUUGAACAGCUGACAGAGGCUUGGCCUGGUCUUCUGAGACCUCCACAACAUCACAUUAGACAAUAACUCUAUAUUUAGCCAUGAGUGAAAUAGAAAAGGAAGGGAAUCAGGGCCAAACAGACUAAGAUGAACAGAGAAGUCUGGACUUUCAUUUGUAAUGUUUCUUAGCAAAACAAGGGGAUGUUUGGAUGCUGGGUCUGUUUAUUUAGACUCAAGAUCUCAUAUCCUAAUGUGAACUUUCUGGACAAUGUCUUUUGAUUCCUUUAAUCUCUCUGUGGCCUUUUUCUACCCAGUACAAAACAGCUGGAUGAAAAGUCACACCUGCAUUCCACAAGUAGAAAAAUAUAAUUCAGUCUAAUUCAGUUUUCGGUGUAACAUAAUCACUAGAAGUAGGGAUUCUUGGAUUCUGAUCUAACUGCCAACCACUGCCUAACUUGAGGGGAAUUGCUUUUCUUCUGUGGGCCUCAGUUUUCUCAUCCCUUGAGUGAAGAUGCUGAACAUCACAUUUUCUAAAGACUGUUUCUUCCUGUUUUGAGGUUUAAUGAAGUUAGGGUCAGAGGGACUUCUAGGAAUAAAUGCUUCCAGUGUUCAGGUAACACAAGUUUCUCCUGAGGAGAAAUACAGGAAAAUUAAAGGGCUCCAUUUGCCCAUCUUGAUUCAGCUGGGGGUGAGGAGCUGAAAAGGACACCUGCUGAUGCUACUCAUGAACUGUGUAGCAUCAUUCUUUGAGAGCACUGGUUAUGUAGCAUUUGGGAUGAUGAUAAAAGUCAAGGAUCAGCAAACUUUUUCUGUAAAGGAUCAGAUGAGAAAUGUUUUAGGCUAUGCUGACCUAGAGUCUCUGUUGCAAGUAUUCGACAAUGCUACUGUAGUAUGAAAGCAGACAUAAAAUACAUACAUGAAUGAGUGUGAUUGCAUUCUAUUACAAAAACAGUAGUGGGGACAUAAGCUGUAGUUGUCUGACCCCUGAUAUAAGUGAUGGUCUUUGUGAUUAGAAAUGUAUAACCUUAUCCUCCCUCCCACUUCACAGACAAAUGUAAGUCCUGCAGGAGUUUAUUAUUACCAAGAGAGUUUGGAAAAUGUUUCAAAGCCAUAAAUAGUUUAGAAUAAUAAUAAAACUGUGAAGAUCAGUGAACUAGGAAACAAAAGAUGUAGAUUGAGGCCAAAUGCAACCAUUUAACUAGUUGGCAAAUGAUUUAACCUCUAUGAAUCUAGGUUUCCUCAUGUCCAGUUUUUUUGGAAAUGGUACAUGCUGUGCCUGGGUUCAAAUUCCAGCUCUAUUCUUUAUAAGCUGUACAGUCUUGAACAUGUUGCUUAACCUCUUCAUGUUUCAGGUGCUUCACAAUCAAAGCAGAAGGCGAAGCAAAAGCAGGCACCUUGUUCACAAGGCAGCAGGAGAGAGACUGCCAGCAGGGGAAAUGCCAGAAGCUUAUAAAACCGUCAGAUCUCGUGAC
Molecule: long non-coding RNA, 2222 nt
Filed under: Homo sapiens (human)
Lineage: Eukaryota; Metazoa; Chordata; Mammalia; Primates; Hominidae
Description: HSALNT0166239
Source: RNAcentral